UGGCGGACGGGUGAGUAAUGUCUGGGAAACUGCCUGAUGGAGGGGGAUAACUACUGGAAACGGUAGCUAAUACCGUAUAACGUCGCAAGACCAAAGAGGGGGACCUUAGGGCCUCUUGCCAUCGGAUGUGCCCAGAUGGGAUUAGCUAGUAGGUGGGGUAACGGCUCACCUAGGCGACGAUCCCUAGCUGGUCUGAGAGGACGACCAGCCACACUGGAACUGAGACACGGUCCAG
RNAcentral lists this ribosomal RNA (235 nucleotides) under uncultured bacterium. RNAcentral describes it as "partial 16S ribosomal RNA". It matches the Rfam family "Bacterial small subunit ribosomal RNA", at positions 96 to 334 of the family's 1533-position model. The record is from RNAcentral.